This 245-nucleotide ribosomal RNA is filed under the name uncultured bacterium. RNAcentral describes it as "partial 16S ribosomal RNA". It matches the Rfam family "Bacterial small subunit ribosomal RNA", at positions 524 to 768 of the family's 1533-position model. The record is from RNAcentral.
UACGUAGGGGGCGAGCGUUGUCUGGAGUUACUGGGCGUAAAGGGCAUGCAGGCGGUCAGGCGCGUUUUGUGUGACAGCGCACGGCUUAACUGUGCGAGGAUGCGAAAGACGGCGUGACUUGAGAGCGCGAGAGGGACACGGAAUUCCGGGUGGAGUGGUGAAAUGCGUAGAGAUCCGGAGGAACACCGAAGGCGAAGGCAGUGUCCUGGCGCGUAUCUGACGCUGAGGUGCGAAAGCCAGGGGAG